This is an RNA transcript of Spodoptera litura, 3197 nucleotides long. It is a transcript of the gene named ATP-dependent DNA helicase hay, with no coding region annotated. The record is from RefSeq and is a predicted model, not a curated record. NCBI's taxonomy places the organism in Eukaryota, Metazoa, Arthropoda, Insecta, Lepidoptera, Noctuidae.
GUCAAUUUUAUCAAGCGAACGAUGAGGUCGACAUUGAGUUACCAUUAACCCUGUAUAUCUUUGAAGAGUUAAUAAGUUUUUUUAACAAAUGGCUAACUUGUUACCUAAUUUGUUUUUUACUCAUGUUAUUAAAUACAAUUAAGCAGGAUAGAAUCUUUGUAAGUAUUUGAUGUUUAUUAUCAAGUUCUUUGCACUUUUUUUAAGCUAGUCAACUUUUUAUCUAAUUGGUUACCAAAGACGUUGAAAAAUUGGUUAUAUUUAAUAUCCAAAAACUAAACCGUAAAUUAAUAAUUAUAAAAGUACUAAAUUGAUUCCAAAAAGAUAAGUUCUUGGUAAAAUAAAAUUGCAUAAGAUUUUAAUCUGAACGCUGCUAAAAAAGUGACAUUCUAAACAUGUCAACUGUCACUGCCAUAGAUGAUGAAUGACGAAUUCAAAGAGUUUAUGGGAUGUCUUGUAGUUGUGUUAUUACACAUGUAUAGUCAAUCAGUGUUUUCGGGAAAUCCGCGUUGUAAAUCCUACAAGCGAAUCUUCUAGCAGUGAAAUAAAAAAAAGUUCAACUUAUACAAUAUCUGAUUAUUUAUUCUAUUACUUACUUGCCUUUGACCAUCAAAUUGCGUUCGGAAUAAGUGAAAUCUAAAUAAAACUGAAUGUGGAAAAUAUUCUACUAAAACUGAUAUUCACUUGGAAAAUAACUAGGAAUAUAAAAUGGGUCCCCCAAAGAAGUUCAAAAAAUAUGAUUCAAGAACAGGAAGUGAUAGAUCAGGUAAAAAGAAGAAAGUAGAAGAAGAAGUGACCAUAGACUUGGUGGAUGAUGACAAUACCGAGAAUGUAGGAGUACCUGGUGCUGCCAUGCAGGAUGCUGAGAAAAAUGACCAAGUGCCAGAAGAUGAAUUCGGUGCCAAAGAUUACAGAAACCAAAUGCAACUGAAAACCGAUAAUGCCAGUCGGCCAUUGUGGGUGGCACCUAAUGGUCACAUAUUCUUAGAAGCAUUCUCACCCGUCUAUAAACAUGCUCAUGAUUUUCUCAUUGCUAUUGCUGAACCUGUGUGCCGGCCACAACACAUACAUGAGUACAAACUUACAGCUUACAGUUUAUAUGCUGCAGUGUCAGUGGGUUUGCAAACAGUGGACAUUAUUGAGUAUCUACAGAGGCUUAGUAAAUGCUCCGUACCAGCAGGCAUUAUAGAAUUUAUACAGCUUUGUACACUAUCCUAUGGAAAAGUGAAACUUGUGCUAAAACAUAACAGAUAUCUUGUGGAGAGUAAACACGUGGAAGUUCUCCAAAAAUUACUCCGUGACCCUGUAAUUCAGCAAUGUAGGCUAAGACGCGACGGCGAUGACGACUUCUUGUCGUCGGCACUGCCCGAUAAACCAGCAAUGUCUCUUAAACCAGGUGAAACAAGCGACAAACCGCCGGCGGCUAACGGCGCGGUACCUGAUGACAUCAGCCAGUUCUACCAGCAGUUGGACAAAGACGACGACGAGGACGAAGCCACCGACAUUACUGCCAAUACUGCCGUUGCUUUUGAAGUCGACCCUGAUAAAAUUGAGGUGAUACAAAAACGUUGCAUCGAGCUUGAACACCCAUUGUUAGCGGAAUAUGACUUCCGUAAUGACUCUAUCAACCCUGACAUCAAUAUAGAUUUGAAGCCCACCGCCGUGCUGCGCCCGUACCAGGAGAAAAGUCUUCGGAAAAUGUUCGGAAACGGUCGUGCGCGGUCGGGCGUGAUAGUGCUGCCGUGCGGCGCGGGCAAGUCGCUGGUGGGCGUCACGGCCGUGUGCACGGUCCGCAAGAGGGCGCUGGUGCUCUGUAACUCGGGCGUCUCCGUCGAGCAGUGGAAGCAACAGUUCAAGUGCUGGUCCACGGCUGACGACAGUAUGAUCUGCAGAUUUACGUCAGAAGCGAAAGACAAGCCGAUGGGUGCAGGUAUCCUGAUUACAACAUAUUCUAUGAUCACGCAUGGACAGCGACGCUCGUGGGAGGCCGAGCAGACCAUGAAGUGGCUGCAGGCGCAGGAGUGGGGACUUGUGGUUCUCGACGAGGUGCAUACCAUACCCGCCAAGAUGUUCCGAAGAGUACUAACCAUCGUGCACUCACAUGCUAAGCUUGGUUUGACUGCAACAUUACUUCGAGAAGACGACAAAAUCGCAGAUCUGAACUUCUUGAUUGGGCCAAAGUUGUACGAAGCGAACUGGUUGGAGCUACAAGCGAAUGGGUAUAUUGCGCGAGUGCAGUGCGCUGAGGUGUGGUGUCCCAUGACGCCGGAGUUUUACAGAGAAUAUCUUGUACAAAAAAUAAAUAAGAAAAUGUUGCUGUACGUAAUGAAUCCCUCAAAAUUCCGCGCGUGUCAGUUCCUGGUGAGGUAUCACGAACGACGCGGCGAUAAGACUAUUGUGUUCUCCGAUAAUGUAUUCGCCCUUCGACAUUACGCCGUCAAAAUGAAUAAGCCAUAUAUCUACGGACCCACGUCACAAAGCGAGAGAAUUCAGAUAUUGCAGAAUUUCAAAUUCAACCCUAAAGUGAAUACGAUAUUUGUGAGUAAAGUUGCUGACACUAGUUUUGAUUUACCGGAAGCAAAUGUUCUGAUUCAAAUCUCGUCUCAUGGUGGUUCACGGCGACAGGAAGCCCAACGAUUAGGUCGUAUAUUGAGAGCAAAGAAAGGUGCUUUAGCGGAGGAGUAUAACGCAUUCUUCUACACACUGGUGUCCCAAGACACAUUAGAAAUGGCUUACAGCCGCAAAAGACAGCGGUUUCUCGUCAAUCAAGGUUAUAGCUACAAGGUCAUCACAGAACUAAAGGGAAUGGAUCAGGAACCUGACCUACUGUAUGGUACACGGGAGGAGCAAGGCCUUCUAUUACAACAGGUGCUGGCUGCGUCUGAGACGGAGUGCGAGGAGGAGCGCGAGGGCGGCGUGGGGGGCGCGGGGUCGGGCGUGGCGCGGCGCGCGGGGGCGCUGUCGUCGCUGGCGGGCGCAGACGACGCGCUCUACUUCGAGCACCGCCGCAACGCCAACGCACAGAAACACCCGCUCUUCAAAAAGUUCCGAUACUAACAGCACUAUGUGCGUCGCUACAUCCAUACAUAUUCAACAUCUGAUCUCUGUAAAACUGAAAACGAAGGAGGAAUUCCUGAGUGGGCGUUGGUUGAGCUCCAGGGUCUUAUUCAGAUGAAAAAAGAAGGAGUCACAGAAGCAAC